UUGCAGCUAAUUAAGCCAAUGGUGCUGCUUUCAUCUUGAGCACCUGAUGUGCAAUGGCUGCAAACAGCAGCCUCCUCGGUAGUGUGUGCGGCCUGUUGUUUGUAUGGAUUGUCCUAAGCGAUCUUAAAGACAACC
This 135-nucleotide small nucleolar RNA is filed under the name Propithecus coquereli (Coquerel's sifaka). Its description in RNAcentral is "Small nucleolar RNA SNORA70 (ENSPCOG00000025587.1)". It matches the Rfam family "Small nucleolar RNA SNORA70". From Rfam's summary of the family: snoRNA U70 seems to be exclusive to mammals and is a member of the H/ACA class of snoRNA which contain H (ANANNA) and ACA box motifs. H/ACA box snoRNAs are involved in the conversion of uridines to pseudouridines (5-ribosyluracil) a constituent of structural RNAs (transfer, ribosomal, small nuclear, and small nucleolar). The record is from Rfam by way of RNAcentral. Lineage: Eukaryota; Metazoa; Chordata; Mammalia; Primates; Indriidae.